UGGGGAAUAUUGCACAAUGGGCGAAAGCCUGAUGCAGCGACGCCGCGUGAGGGAUGACGGCCUUCGGGUUGUAAACCUCUUUCAGUAGGGACGAAUCGCAAGUGACGGUACCUGCAGAAGAAGCACCGGCUAACUACGUGCCAGCAGCCGCGGUAAUACGUAGGGUGCGAGCGUUGUCCGGAAUUACUGGGCGUAAAGAGCUCGUAGGCGGUUUGUCACGUCGUCUGUGAAAUCCUAGGGCUUAACCCUGGACGUGCAGGCGAUACGGGCUGACUUGAGUACUACAGAGGAGACUGGAAUUUCUGGUGUAGCGGUGGAAUGCACAGAUAUCAGGAAGAACACCGAUGGCGAAGGCAGGUCUCUGGGUAGUAACUGACGCUGAGGAGCGAAAGCAUGGGUAGCGAACAGG
RNAcentral lists this ribosomal RNA (409 nucleotides) under bacterium. Its description in RNAcentral is "partial 16S ribosomal RNA". It matches the Rfam family "Bacterial small subunit ribosomal RNA", at positions 355 to 776 of the family's 1533-position model. The record is from RNAcentral.